UUUCAUUUAAUCUUUAGGAAC
Molecule: non-coding RNA, 21 nt
Organism: Caenorhabditis elegans
Lineage: Eukaryota; Metazoa; Nematoda; Chromadorea; Rhabditida; Rhabditidae
Source: Ensembl